AGUGAACGCUGGCGGUAGGCCUAACACAUGCAAGUCGAACGGCAGCACAGUAAGAGCUUGCUCUUACGGGUGGCGAGUGGCGGACGGGUGAGGAAUACAUCGGAAUCUACUUUUUCGUGGGGGAUAACGUAGGGAAACUUACGCUAAUACCGCAUACGACCUACGGGUGAAAGCAGGGGAUCUUCGGACCUUGCGCGAUUGAAUGAGCCGAUGUCGGAUUAGCUAGUUGGCGGGGUAAAGGCCCACCAAGGCGACGAUCCGUAGCUGGUCUGAGAGGAUGAUCAGCCAAACUGGAACUGAGACACGGUCCAGACUCCUACGGGAGGCAGCAGUGGGGAAUAUUGGACAAUGGGCGCAAGCCUGAUCCAGCCAUACCGCGUGGGUGAAGAAGGCCUUCGGGUUGUAAAGCCCUUUUGUUGGGAAAGAAAAGCAGCAGGUUAAUACCCCGCUGUUUUGACGGUACCCAAAGAAUAAGCACCGGCUAACUUCGUG
This 492-nucleotide ribosomal RNA is filed under the name uncultured bacterium. RNAcentral describes it as "partial 16S ribosomal RNA". It matches the Rfam family "Bacterial small subunit ribosomal RNA", at positions 29 to 507 of the family's 1533-position model. The record is from RNAcentral.